RNAcentral lists this ribosomal RNA (105 nucleotides) under Candidatus Anaerotignum merdipullorum. Its description in RNAcentral is "partial 16S ribosomal RNA". It matches the Rfam family "Bacterial small subunit ribosomal RNA", at positions 1 to 94 of the family's 1533-position model. Lineage: Bacteria; Bacillati; Bacillota; Clostridia; Lachnospirales; Anaerotignaceae. The record is from RNAcentral.
UAAUAUAAGAGUUUGAUCCUGGCUCAGGAUGAACGCUGGCGGCGUGCUUAACACAUGCAAGUCGAACGAAGAGGAUAAGAAAGAGCGCUUCGGCAGGAUUUUUUA